This is a non-coding RNA of Python bivittatus (Burmese python), 1036 nucleotides long. The record is from RefSeq and is a predicted model, not a curated record. Lineage: Eukaryota; Metazoa; Chordata; Lepidosauria; Squamata; Pythonidae.
GCAGCAGGCAGGCUGGCGAGAGGGCUGCGCUCAGCAAGCGGCGCCUGGAGACUUGGGCAUGUGAUCAAAAAGCAAGGGGGGAGGAAGAGGAGGAGGAGGAGGAGGGAGGGAGGGAGCCGGCUAUAGAUGAGCCAGGAGUUUGCUAGCUCUUCGGCGCUGGCGAGGGGAGCCGGCGGGAGGAAUGCGUCCCACAAAGGACGCGCGCGCGCGUUUGGCGGCCCGCCUGGGGCGGGAAUCGCGGCGUGUGCAGGGGCAGGAGAGGAGUUGCUCGUUUUCCCUCCCUCCUUAGGAAUCCCAAGCGGCGAAGGAGCGGCACCCGCAGUGUGAGGCUCCCCCUGGCUGUUUGGAGCGGGCUGCGCGAGAGGGGUGGGGGGAGCCCAGAGAGCUGCAAAGAGCAGCAGACACUUCAUCCUGCGGCACCAGCAGGAAGAGCGUCUGUGCGCGCGAGGGAGAGCUGAAGCCCAUGUGCGCAGAUGGCAGUGUGAAAACCAAAUACAAACAUUGGUAGAAGUUAUUUUUUGCUCUCUAUAAGAAAAUGAAGACAGUGUACACAUGACUAGGCUCGGGAACUUGAGAAACCACAGCCAUCUCAGCAGCUUGCAUUCCUGCUAUUUGAGUACUACACAACAUGGAUCCCUACAUUCUUUUUUGUGUGAGUCAAACCACACAGAUAAUGAUCAGAUACUGGAUUCCAGCCAAAAGGCAGAUGCUGAUGGUUUUUCCUGCAGACAAACUUCAAGGAUGGAGAGACAAUGAGCACAGAUGGCAUCCUGUAAUUCAUACCUGAGUUGGAAAAAAUCAUUGUAAUAGUAAUACAUUUAAGUUUAUCUGGCCUCUGGAUGAAAGUCAACAGCCUUAAUCUCUGGGAUGUAUAAAGCAGAAAAUAUGAUCUUAGUAAUAGACCAUGGGCUUUGUAUGCAAAGCAUCCCAAAUUCAAUCCCUGGUAUCUCCAGGUAAGAAUUGAAGAGGCUGUUUGAAAAACAAAGAGUUGUGGCCAGUAAGUACAGACCUUAUUGAACUAUAUUUCCUAUUUCCA